Molecule: ribosomal RNA, 289 nt
Filed under: uncultured bacterium
Lineage: Bacteria
Description: partial 16S ribosomal RNA
Rfam family: Bacterial small subunit ribosomal RNA
Source: RNAcentral
GUGGAUUAGAUACCCUGGUAGUCCACGCGGUAAACGAUGGAUACUAGGUGUAGGAGGUAUCGACUCCUUCUGUGCCGCCGUUAACACAUUAAGUAUCCCGCCUGGGGAGUACGGCCGCAAGGUUGAAACUCAAAGGAAUUGACGGGGGCCCGCACAAGUGGUGGAGCAUGUGGUUUAAUUCGACGCUACGCGAAGAACCUUACCUGGGUUUGACAUCUAUGGGAAGGCGCUAGAGAUAGUGUCCGUCCUUCGGGACUCAUAGACAGGUGCUGCGCGGCUGUCGACAACU